UACGAAGGGGGCUAGCGUUGCUCGGAAUUACUGGGCGUAAAGCGCACGUAGGCGGAUAUUUAAGUCAGGGGUGAAAUCCCAGAGCUCAACUCUGGAACUGCCUUUGAUACUGGGUAUCUUGAGUAUGGAAGAGGUAAGUGGAAUUCCGAGUGUAGAGGUGAAAUUCGUAGAUAUUCGGAGGAACACCAGUGGCGAAGGCGGCUUACUGGUCCAUUACUGACGCUGAGGUGCGAAAGCGUGGGGAGCAAACAGG
This 253-nucleotide ribosomal RNA is filed under the name uncultured bacterium. RNAcentral's name for it is "partial 16S ribosomal RNA". It matches the Rfam family "Bacterial small subunit ribosomal RNA", at positions 524 to 776 of the family's 1533-position model. The record is from RNAcentral.